CAUGUACCUCUAAUUUCAAAUGGAAUUGAGAUAUUGAUUUGCUUAUGCAAUAAGUGUAUACAAGAAGAAAACAUUACAUCAAAAUUAAAACCCUAUUGAAUCUUCAAUCCCUAGAUGAUGGCGAUGAUGAACUUUCUUCUUCCCAGCCCAUGUUCUUCAACCAAGAUCAAGUACCAAAAUUGUUCAAACAAUCCUCUGUUUGUUACUUCUGUGCAAUUAAGUUUAGGAAGCCUAAAGUGAUUCGAUUCAUACAUCAUACUUCCUUUGAUAUAUAAAUUAAUUUACUAUUUUUUCUUUGAUGCCAAGCUGUAGUUUUUCUUCUAUUUGAAAGAAGUAACUCGGUGUUUCUGGUAUCCAGAUUGAAAGGAUUUUCACCUUCAUUGUUGAAAAUGCGGGCUCACUCCAAAACUUGUGACUGCCAAGAUGCAAUAUGAACGAUUAUGCAGUGGAACAAAUAAACCAAAAGAUUUCAAUGAUUUCCAUCUUAGAUUUGAGAUACUGCAUCAAAAUUGGUGGUAAUUCUAUAUAAACAAUCGAGAAGAACUUCAAACAUUUGGAAGUUUUCUGUCGUAAUAUGCAUCUGAUAGAAACUUUGAGAAAACCCUUUGAAGAUAACAUCUUCACAGGGUUUUCUAGAAGUUUCUAACAGAUGCAUAUUGUGACUGAAAACUUCCAAGCAUUUGUAGUUCUUGUUGAUUGUUUCUAUAGCAUUGCCACCAAUCUAUUUGUUGCAAAUCUAAGAUGGAAAUCAUUGAAAGCUUUCGGUUUAUUUGUUGCACUGCAAAAUUGUUCAUAUUGUAUCAUGGAAUGCACAAGUCUUGGAGAGAGCCAACAUUUUCAGUAAUGGAGGUAAAAACCCUUUCAGCAUGGAUACCAGAAACAUUGAGUUACUUCUUACAAAUAGAAGAAAAACUACGACUUGGCAUCAAAGAAAAGACAAUAAAUCAAUUUAUACAUCAAAGAAAAUAUGAAGUAUGAUUGAAUCAGUCGAGUCUUUGAACUGGUUUUUUUUUGUACGAGGUAUUCAUACAACACAAUCAAUUAUAUAACAAGUGUACCAUAUAAUAUUUUACCACAAUUCAUAUUUGUUAAUUUAUAUCCAUAUCUUACAACAUCUUGAGCUUGAUUAUCACCCCGUUUGCUCAUUUCCUCUUUUUGUGAGAGAACAUCUUCGAGCUUCUAGUUGAGUAAUGAGCGCAUCUUUCUCAUGAUUAUAAUUCAUGGGAGGGGUUGGUUGCAAGUAUCUGUUGAAUUUUUUUCAUAAGAAUAUUACUAUAUCAUUUAGAAACUUUUGAAUUAAACAUAUCUAUGAUUAUGAUCUUAAUUGAAUGAUCUAGGAACCUUCACACAUUCGAUAUGCAAUCAAGAUAAUCACAAAUUUACACAACCGUAUGUUCGAUCUUAACAUAAAUAUUGAAAUUCAUUUUAAAAAAUGGAUCUAAAACAAAAAAUGAAAAUACACACUAUCUAGUCAAAAUAGGAUCAAAAACAUUACAAUAAUUAUAAAUCAAGCAGAGGAUUGAUGCUUUUAAAUUGAUCAUAAUUUCUAAAUUAUCAUAAAAUAAAUUAAUUCAAAAUAAAAUAUAAUAGAUUUAGGAGAUUAUAUAUUAAUUUAAUAAUUAUUAAAAAUUUAAAUCAAAUAAUGUUUCUUUUAGGCUUACCUUUUUCCGAUAUUUAAUCAAAUAAAUUAUAGCCGUCAGAGAUUUGUCAUGGAGAUCGCAAAAACUAAAAAUAUAGUCCACGGAUCUUGUUGUCUCCUCGCUGUAGAUCUAGUAGAAAAAAACCAUAAGAUUAAAGAAGGGAAAAUAAUCCAAUAAAAACUAUAUAUCAAUAUAUGACUAAAUAAGAUAAAAGUCCUUAGGUUGAAUACACACUUGUAUAUAUAUAUUGUUAUCACGAUUUUGGGGUAUCAAGUCAUUAAUUAGGCUUGAACCUUUCAAUCUUUGAUAUUCUCUAUUUUUUCUUGGGAAGGGUAAAAUUGAGAAAACCUUUAGAAACUCUAAGUUCGGGGGUCGUUUUCGUUACGGGAAGGUGUUAGGCACCCGUAACGACUAUAGUAUUCUAUAGGAACCGCUUUCCUAGCUUUAUGUCUACGCUUUAUUUUUAUGCUUAUUUAUUGAAAAGAAAGUUUAUUUUGUUUAAGAAUGGAGGGAGGAAACGUUUGAGAUUUUAUUUUAUUGGACUUGGAGAGGUUUUGACCUCUUGCCUACAUACCCUUUUAAGGGAUCAAAAUUCCAUGUAGUUCUCUCUCAAAAAUAUUUUUGUGUGUUUCAAUUGAUUUUAAGUUUUGAAAAAAUGGUUUUAAAGAAGGGAAAGAGGCCGUAAAGGCAUGAGAGAAGAAAAUGGUGAAUGGUUGGUUCAAUUAUUAAAAAAAGUCUAAGUUGGAAUUAGAGUUCAUUUGAGUUUUUCUUAAGAAAAUGAAGGGAAAAUUCAAUGGAGUUUCGACUCCAAGCUUUAUUAUGAAAAAAAAUAAUUCAAGUGAUGGAAUUUGCUUAUUUAAAAAAGAAUAUUUUCCUAAGUAUCGCGUUCCCUAAGCAUACAUCUAAAGCGGUAAAUCAUCAUACAACGUGUGUGCGUGUCGGUGCUUGUGUCGGUGUACAUCAUUAGAGUCCAUUGUCCGUUACAUUGGCCCUAGUUUACAUUCUAUGGUCUUGCAAGAAAUUAAAAAAGAGAAAUUGAAACUACCUAAAUUUACAUGCCAACUUUAACAUAGAAAUUGAAGGGUAAAAAUGCCUAAACUACAAGAAAUUGAGAUGGAGGUGGUAGAAUGCUUAUGAAAUGGAUGAAACAUGAAGUAAAAAGGUUAGUAAAAUAGGGUGUAAAAUGAUAGAACAAGUGAGCAAAGGAAUACGAGAUAAACGGUAAAAAUGUCAACAAUAACCAAAAUGUAAAAAAAGAAACACAUUACUUGCAACACAAGAAACUAACAAAUCACAUCAAAAACAGUAAAACAAACACAUGAUCAGAGGCAUAUUCAUCACAAAAUAGCAUAUCAAUCAUUCAUACCAUGCCAAGAUCUCAUGAACAAAUUAUAGCAAGAAAAUUCACAAGUUUAGACAAAGAAAGGGAGCAAAUCAAUCAAGAAAACAUCACAUAUGUUUUUAUCAUUUUUUAACAUGUAAAAACAUCACAAAAAUAUCAAAAAUGCAUCAAGAAACACAUAGAAAUUUUUAGGAAUUUUUACAAGAAAAUUUGAGCACACAGGAGGUUCACAUAGCAAAAACAGAGGGUGCACAUAGCAAGAAAUAGCAAAAACGCAGGAAACCACAGGGAAAAAAAAGGCCCAAGCCCAAGCCUAUUGGACCUGGACACUCAGGGAGCGUUGGAUUGAUCCAGGGGAUGAAACCCUAGGUCUAACGGCCAAGAUCAAGGGAAAAUGGACCGGACUUGGACCGGUCCGGUUCAGUGGCCUAUAUAUAUGUGGAGGCACCGGUUUAUUUCAUUUGCUACUCCCAUUUCUCUCUCUAACUCUCACCUUCUCUCACUAGGUUCUUGUCUUCUCUUUUCUCCCCUCGCCGGUUUCUGCAGGAAACGGCCGGAGAGGAUGAAGAUCGGCCGGAACCUUCAAAGGUCCGCCGGAAUCUUCAUCUUCUCCGGCGAGAACUCCAGGUUCCGGUUGACCUAAGUUUCCAGAUCUAACCCAAACUAACCCUAAACCACUCGUCUCUUCAUUCUAAACACGAAUUUGAUAUCAGAAUUUGCAUGCAAGCUUGGAAUCGAUGUAGAUCGGAGAAUUUGUUUACGGUUUUCAAAGAUUUUUUAAGGUUUUCAGUUUUUUGAAAGAAACUUCUUGAAACUCCGCAGAUCUACAUUGAUUCAGUCUUGUUGAUGUUUUUGAGAAAGAAAGUGAAGUUUAAGUGUUACCUGUGGUUUUAAUCGGAGAUUUCGAACCGGAAUCUUCAGAAAAAGCUUGAAUCUGAUUCUGUUUGUUGAUUUCUUGCUUUAAAACCGAAAAUAAAUCGGUGUUGUUCCUUCUUCUUCUUCACCGGUUCAAUUUCUUCAUCUUCUUUCCCUCUUCUUCUUCACUGAUUCUCUGUGAUCGGUGCUGGAGUUUAUCACCGAUUGGUGAUGAAUUCGCGCCUUGAAUUGCAGAGAAACCGGUUCAAUGAUGAUGAUUCCUUGAUGAAUCUCUGAGAACUGUAGCGAAUUUGAUGAAUUUGUUGGUGAAUUGUGGUUCUGGAAAGCUAGGGUUUGAAGAUUGUUCUUCACGUUCUUGGUGAUUUUGGAUUUUGAUCCUAACUGAAAAGAGAGAGAAAUUUCUCUCUGUUUGUGAUGUGGCGUGUAUUGUGUGGCUCUCUGUGGCACUGUGCACUAUUUAUAAGCUGCCAAGUGUGAUCCUGGACCAAUGAAAUGGUGACACCUGUAAUUUGGACAUAACAAACUCGGCCUUGUACCAUUUGGACUUGGGGACCUUUCUGCAAAAUAAGAAAAUUGAAGGACUGGACUGCAAUUUACAAAAAAGGACCAAAAAAUGCAAUUUUAAAAAGUGUUGGACUAAAAUGCAAUUUUAGAAACUGUUUCAGGGACUAAAAUGCAAUUAAAAUAAAAUUGGACUAAAAUUGGUAAAUUGGACAAAACGUAAAGAGAAACCUAGAAUAAAAUCAACAAAAGGACUAAAAUGAACCAAUUACAAAAAUGAGGUGUUUUAAAAUACCUCUCUGUCGAAAUUUCAACAGGAAAAGACCAAAAUGCCCCUAGGGACUAAACUGACUCAAAUGCAAUUUUGAAAUGGGUUUUUUUUUACAAAGACUUAACAAUGAUUUAUACAGUCGAAUUGAAAAGACUUAGAGACAAAUACAGGGACAAAAAUGGGUUCCACUGCAGGAAAUGACCAAAAUACCUUUUUGUAUGAUUUUUUGCAGAUGCUUUGAAAUAAAAUGCAAGAAAGACACUUUGGAUGGUUUUAUGCAAGAAAAUCAAAGACAAAAUCAUGAUUGAAAAUACUUCGGGACAGAGACAGUAAAAUAUGCAGGUGAAACAAAGUAAAGAUUCAGAGUAAAAAAGAAGUAAAUUGACAAAUAUCAGUGGUGGAAAAGCAAUUUGGAUGAGUAUUUUUAGGUCCAAAAUCAGGGUAUAGCAUAUAUAUAUAUAUAUAUAUAGAGAGAGAGAGAGAGAGAGAUAUAGAGAUAGAGAGAGAGGAUGAAUGUAAGCAGCGCCGAUUGCUUGUAUUGUAACAGAUAACCUAGGAACACAUUUAUAAAUAGGUCAUUUGAGGAGUUGUUGGUGUAAAUAGGUUAGGUUUCAUUGACGGGCUUCACGAGUCCAAGAAGUAUAGUGGAUAUAUGGGCUCCUUCAUUAUAUCUUGUUUGGACAAGGCCGACCUUUUCACUACAUAUCCUUUUCUGAUUAAGAAUUUCUUUUCCCAUCUUGUACCCUUCUCCUACGCCCUAUUUUUUUUACAAAAAUGACCAUGAGAUUUUCGGAUUCUAUAAUCCGAAAUGAAUUUUACCCCUAUUUUGAGGUGGAAAAAAGAGUUCUCACCAAUUCAUAUUUUAUAAUCUCAAAAUCCCAAAAAUUAGGGCGUGUUCUUUUUUUUUUUUUUUUUGGACUGUACAAUCUGAACACCUCCUAAACACCUAGAUGGUGUAAAAUUCGGCAAGUGUACCAAAAUAUAUCGUGUAACAUAGUAGUAAGUUAUCGUCUCCGUAGGGAUUAUCAUUCAACUCGGUAAUUGGCGGCAUUUAUUAGAAGUAGAGAAUUUAGAAAAGAUGAAGUGGUUUGUGAGGUUUUAAUUGACUUGUCAAAUACAAGAAUAGGUAUGUGGUUCAGAAGUAUAAUCGCGAUUAGAGAAUCCUUGAAUCCCCCUUCAUUAUUUGUUGGAAUUAACUCGGUUAAUUAUUAGUUUAUGACCUAACUUUCGAUUUAAGAAAGUAGAACAUGUUGCCGUGAUGAAUCUGCAGAAGCUUAAUUUUAAUAUCGCCACAAUUCAAUUAGUUACAAUUGUGAAAUUCCCCUUCAUUGAUUAUGCAGUGGAACAAAUAAACCAAAAGAUUUAAUUGAUUUCCAUCUUAGAUUUGAGAUACGGCAUCAAAAUCGGUGGUAAUUCUAUAUAAACAAUCGAGAAGAACUUCAAACAUUUGGAAGUUUUAUGUCGUAAUAUGCAUCUGAUAGAAACUUUGAGAAAACCCUUUGAAGAUAACAUCUUCAAAGGGUUUUCUAGAAGUUUCUAACAGAUGCAUAUUGUGACUGAAAACUUCCAAGCAUUUGUAGUUCUUGUCGAUUGUUUAUAUAGCAUUGCCACCAAUGUUGAUGCGGUGUCUCAAAUCUAAGAUGGAAAUCAUUGAAAGCUUUCGGUUUAUUUGUUGCACUGCAAAAUUGUUCAUAUUGUAUCAUGGAAUGCACAAGUCUUGGAGAGAGCCAACAUUUUCAGCAAUGAAGGUAAAAACCCUUUCAGCAUGGAUACCAGAAACAUUGAGUUACUUCUUACAAGUAGAAGAAAAACUACGACUUGGCAUCAAAGAAAAGACAAUAAAUCAAUUUAUACUUCAAAGAAAGUAUGAAGUAUGAUUGAAUCAGUCCAGUCUUUGAACUGAUUUUUUUUUGUGUUCGAGGUAUAUUUCAUACAACACAAUCAAUUAUGCAACAAGUGUACCAUAUAAUAAUUUACCACAAUUCAUAUUUGUUAAUUUGUAGUCAUAUCUUACGACAUCUUGAGCUUGAUUAUCACCUUGUUUUCUCAUUUCCAUUUUCCAAUUCUCUGCUCUUUUAGUGAGAGAACAUCUUCGAGCUUCUAGUGGAGUAAUGAGCGCAUAUUUCUCAUGAUUAUAAUUCAUGGGAGGGGUUGCAAGUAUCUGUUGAAUUUUUUUCAUAAGAAUAUUACUAUAUCAUUUAGAAACUUUUGAAUUAAACGUAAAUAUGAUUACAUUCGAUAUGCAAUCAAGAUAACCACAAACUCACACAGCCGUAUGUUCGAUCUUAACAUAAAAUAUUGAAAUUCAUUUUAAAAAAUGGAUCUAAAACAAAAAAUGAAAAUACACACUAUCUAGUCAAAUUAUAGCCGUCAGAGAUUUGUCAUGGAGAUCGCAAAAACUAAAAAUAUAGUCCACGGAUCUUGUUGUCAACCUCGCUGUAGAUCUAGUAGAAAAAAACCAUAAGAUUAAAGAAGGGAAAAUAAUCCAAUAAAAACUAUAUAUCAAUAUAUGAUAAAAGUCCUUAGAUUGAAUACACACUUAUAAUUCAUUUGACUCAAAUGAAAUCACAAAGGAUGUAUCCCACCUUUACAUAUCAUAACCAAAUCCACUGUACAAAUU
Molecule: long non-coding RNA, 7250 nt
Filed under: Medicago truncatula (barrel medic)
Lineage: Eukaryota; Viridiplantae; Streptophyta; Magnoliopsida; Fabales; Fabaceae
Description: long non-coding RNA (MTRU_LNC004017)
Source: RNAcentral